ACCCAGUUGCUCGAUCACCCAUGCGUCGUCAUUCUUCCCAGCGAACUUAGGCGGAUCAAAUUUUCGGAACUGGGCCAACUUCGCCCAUAUGCGAUCGCCCUCCGCUGCAGAGGUAUUAGCACCCCCAGCGAAAACCGUCGUGGUAGUCGUCGUCGCCGUGCCAGUCGGAGCCGUGACCGGUGGAGGUAUCACCGGAGUGUCCGCAGUAACUGGAGCCGGCUGUGUCGGAGGUGGAGCCGGGGGAGCAGCAGCUACAGUCUGGCGCUGUAAAAACUGCUGGAA
Molecule: long non-coding RNA, 282 nt
Filed under: Ananas comosus (pineapple)
Lineage: Eukaryota; Viridiplantae; Streptophyta; Magnoliopsida; Poales; Bromeliaceae
Description: long non-coding RNA (ACOM_LNC005718)
Source: RNAcentral